Molecule: transfer RNA, 72 nt
Filed under: Podocarpus sellowii
Lineage: Eukaryota; Viridiplantae; Streptophyta; Pinopsida; Araucariales; Podocarpaceae
Description: tRNA-Val
Rfam family: tRNA
About the family: Transfer RNA (tRNA) molecules are approximately 80 nucleotides in length.
Source: RNAcentral
AGAGAUAUAACUCAGUGGUAGAGUGUCACCUUGACGUGGUGAUAGUCAUCGGUUCAACGAUGAGCACUUCUA